AUGACUGCUGAUAAGCUUGCUGCCUUGGUUGCGGUAGCAUUGCUCGGUUGUGUGGUGCACACAUGCCAAGCGAGCUACGGCUAUCCCAACCCAUUGCCGCCCAUCCCAAGCCCGACACCUCCUACGGCACCGGCGCUCACCCUGGACUUCUACAGCUAUUCCUGCCCUAAUGCGGAGGCAAUUGUCAAGGAAGCCGUAAGGAACGCCACAGACAACAAUCGCGGCAUCGGCGCCGGGCUCAUCCGCCUCUUCUUCCACGACUGUUUCGUCAGGGGUUGCGACGCCUCGGUUCUCCUAGACGCGACGACGGCCAACCCGGAGCCGGAGAAGCUUGGCAUUCCAAACUUCCCCAGUCUCCGCGGCUUCGAGGUGAUCGACGCCGCAAAGGCGAAGCUUGAGAAGGAGUGCGGUGGGAUUGUCUCGUGCGCUGACAUCGUCGCUUUCGCUGGGCGCGACGCCACCUUCUUCCUCAGCAACGGCGUGGUAGACUUCAAAAUGCCGGCUGGCCGCUACGACGGACGUGUGUCUUUCGCCAACGAGACCCUCCGCGACCUGCCCCCUCCCUUCGCCAACGUCACGGUGCUGGAGGCAAUGUUCAAAGCCAAGGGGCUCGACCUCGACGACAUGGUCACCCUCUCGGGCGCGCACACCGUUGGAAUCUCUCAUUGUUCGUCCUUCGCUGACCGCCUUCCAGCCGACCCGUCGGACCCCACGUCCAUGGAACCCGCGCUGGCUAGCUCGCUACAGCAGAGGUGCAGCCGUGGUGGUGACCCCGUUGUGGUGCAGGAUGUCGUUACCCCCCGUGACCUGGACAGACAGUACUAUCAGAACGUACUCGACCGUAAAGUGUUAUUCAAAUCGGACGCGGCGCUGCUGUCGCCGCAGACACUCAAGGCUGUGGAACACAACGCCAAGAACCCCGGGAAGUGGGAGCGAAAGUUCAAGGACGCAAUGGUUAAGAUGGGCAACAUCGAGGUGAAGACCAAGGCCAACGGGGAGAUCAGAAAGCAGUGCCGGUUCGUCAACUAG
This 1029-nucleotide ribosomal RNA is filed under the name Triticum aestivum (bread wheat). Its description in RNAcentral is "partial small subunit ribosomal RNA". Lineage: Eukaryota; Viridiplantae; Streptophyta; Magnoliopsida; Poales; Poaceae. The record is from RNAcentral.